RNAcentral lists this long non-coding RNA (548 nucleotides) under Oryza sativa (Asian cultivated rice). Its description in RNAcentral is "long non-coding RNA (OSAT_LNC001185)". The record is from RNAcentral. Lineage: Eukaryota; Viridiplantae; Streptophyta; Magnoliopsida; Poales; Poaceae.
AAAGUGAAAAUUUAACUUUCAUGGCUGCUGAUUGGGGUCUUGGGAUUAUGAGGAGAUUAACACUAGAUUAUGACGGCAAUCUCAGGUUAUACAGUCUGAACAAUUCAAGCGGAACAUGGUCAGUCACAUGGAUGGCAUUUCCUCAGCUCUGCAAUGUACGUGGUGUGUGUGGUAUAAAUGGCAUAUGUGUGUACACACCUGUGCCUGCCUGUGCGUGUCCUCCCGGUUAUGACUUCAUUGAUCCAAGUGAUCAGAGCAAAGGCUGCAGCCCAAGAGUCAAUAUCACUUGUGAUGUACAACAGAAGGUAAUGUUUGUUAGCCUUCCAAACACUCAAUUCCUAGAUUCUGAUUUAAGUCCUCUUCGUUAUGUUUCUCUUGGAGCUUGCGAGAACAUAUGCUUGAAGGACUGCAAUUGUAUGGGGUUUGUAUAUUGGCAAGGAAUUGGUAAGUGCUAUCCAAAGUCCGUUCUUCUUAGUGGUGUAAGCUUACCUCACAUUGGUAGUACUGGCACCAUGUAUCUCAAGCUCCCUAUGGAAGAAGUGUUGGAG